CUUCGGGUUAGUGGCGGACGGGUGAGUAACGCGUGGGAAUCUGCCCUCAGGAGGGGGAUAACGGUUGGAAACGACCGCUAAUACCCCAUAUGCCGAGAGGUGAAAUGAAUUUCGCCUGAGGAUGAGCCCGCGUCUGAUUAGCUUGUUGGUGAGGUAAUGGCUCACCAAGGCUUCGAUCAGUAGCUGGUCUGAGAGGAUGAUCAGCCACACUGGGACUGAGACACGGCCCAGACUCCUACGGGAGGCAGCAGUGGGGAAUUUUCCGCAAUGGGCGAAAGCCUGACGGAGCAACGCCGCGUGAGGGACGAGGGCCUCUGGGCUGUAAACCUCUUUUCUCAAGGAAGAAGAUCUGACGGUACUUGAGGAAUAAGCCACGGCUAAUUCCGUGCCAGCAGCCGCGGUAAUACGGGAGUGGCAAGCGUUAUCCGGAAUUAUUGGGCGUAAAGCGUCCGCAGGCGGCCUUUCAAGUCUGCUGUUAAAGCGUGGAGCUUAACUCCAUUAUGGCAGUGGAAACUGUUGGGCUUGAGUGUGGUAGGGGCA
RNAcentral lists this ribosomal RNA (540 nucleotides) under uncultured Synechococcus sp. RNAcentral describes it as "bacterial SSU rRNA". It matches the Rfam family "Bacterial small subunit ribosomal RNA", at positions 85 to 659 of the family's 1533-position model. Lineage: Bacteria; Bacillati; Cyanobacteriota; Cyanophyceae; Synechococcales; Synechococcaceae. The record is from RNAcentral.